Molecule: ribosomal RNA, 510 nt
Filed under: uncultured bacterium
Lineage: Bacteria
Description: partial 16S ribosomal RNA
Rfam family: Bacterial small subunit ribosomal RNA
Source: RNAcentral
GACGAACGCUGGCGGCGUGCUUAACACAUGCAAGUCGAACGAAGAGCGAUGGAAGCUUGCUUCUAUCAAUCUUAGUGGCGCACGGGUGAGUAACGCGUAAUCAACCUGCCCUUCAGAGGGGGACAACAGUUGGAAACGACUGCUAAUACCGCAUACGAUCUAACCUCGGCAUCGAGGAUAGAUGAAAGGUGGCCUCUACAUGUAAGCUAUCACUGAAGGAGGGGAUUGCGUCUGAUUAGCUAGUUGGAGGGGUAACGGCCCACCAAGGCGAUGAUCAGUAGCCGGUCUGAGAGGAUGAACGGCCACAUUGGGACUGAGACACGGCCCAGACUCCUACGGGAGGCAGCAGUGGGGAAUCUUCCGCAAUGGACGAAAGUCUGACGGAGCAACGCCGCGUGAGUGAUGACGGCCUUCGGGUUGUAAAGCUCUGUUAAUCGGGACGAAAGGCCUUCUUGCGAAUAGGGAGAAGGAUUGACGGUACCGGAAUAGAAAGCCACGGCUAACUACGUG